AGAACGAACGCUGGCGGCAGGCCUAACACAUGCAAGUCGAACGCCGUAGCAAUACGGAGUGGCAGACGGGUGCGUAACGCGUGGGAACAUACCCUUUGGUUCGGAAUAACUCAGGGAAACUUGAGCUAAUACCGGAUAAGCCCUUACGGGGAAAGAUUUAUCGCCGAAGGAUUGGCCCGCGUCUGAUUAGCUAGUUGGUGAGGUAAUGGCUCACCAAGGCGACGAUCAGUAGCUGGUCUGAGAGGAUGAUCAGCCACACUGGGACUGAGACACGGCCCAGACUCCUACGGGAGGCAGCAGUGGGGAAUAUUGGACAAUGGGCGAAAGCCUGAUCCAGCCAUGCCGCGUGAGUGAUGAAGGCCUUAGGGUUGUAAAGCUCUUUUACCCGGGAAGAUAAUGACUGUACCGGGAGAAUAAGCCCGGCUAACUUCGCGCCAGCAGCCGC
This 445-nucleotide ribosomal RNA is filed under the name uncultured bacterium. Its description in RNAcentral is "SSU rRNA". It matches the Rfam family "Bacterial small subunit ribosomal RNA", at positions 26 to 518 of the family's 1533-position model. The record is from RNAcentral.